CCUACGGGGCGCAGCAGUGAGGAAUAUUGGUCAAUGGACGCAAGUCUGAACCAGCCAUGCCGCGUGCAGGAAGACGGCUCUAUGAGUUGUAAACUGUUUUUGUACGAGGGUAAACGCAGAUACGCGUAUCUGUCUGAAAGUAUCGUACGAAUAAGGAUCGGCUAACUCCGGGCCAGCAGCCGCGGUAAUACGGAGGAUUCAAGCGUUAUCCGGAUUUAUUGGGUUUAAAGGGUGCGUAGGUGGUCGGAUAAGUUAGAGGUGAAAUCCCGAGGCGCAACUUCGGAAUUGCUUCUGAUACUGUUCAGCUAGAGAGUAGUUGCGGUAGGCGGAAUGUAUGGUGUAGCGGUGAAAUGCUUAGAGAUCAUACGGAACACCGGUUGCGAAGGCGGCUUACCAAGCUACUUCUGACGUUGAGGCACGAAAGCGUGGGGAGCAAACAGGAUUAGAUACCCUUGUAGUC
This 460-nucleotide ribosomal RNA is filed under the name uncultured bacterium. RNAcentral's name for it is "partial 16S ribosomal RNA". It matches the Rfam family "Bacterial small subunit ribosomal RNA", at positions 338 to 795 of the family's 1533-position model. The record is from RNAcentral.